RNAcentral lists this ribosomal RNA (289 nucleotides) under uncultured bacterium. RNAcentral's name for it is "partial 16S ribosomal RNA". It matches the Rfam family "Bacterial small subunit ribosomal RNA", at positions 333 to 614 of the family's 1533-position model. The record is from RNAcentral.
UUAGUCCUACGGGGCGCAGCAGUAGGGAAUCUUCCACAAUGGACGAAAGUCUGAUGGAGCAACGCCGCGUGAGUGAAGAAGGGUUUCGGCUCGUAAAGCUCUGUUGGGAGGGAAGAAAGAUAGAGGUAGUAACCGGCCUUUAUUUGACGGUAAUUACUUAGAAAGUCACGGCUAACUACGUGCCAGCAGCCGCGGGAAUACGUAGGUGGCAAGAGUUGUCCGGAUUUAUUGGGCGUAAAGCGAGCGCAGGUGGUUUAUUAAGUCUGGUGUAAAAGGCAGGGGCUCAACC